AGAGUUUGAUCAUGGCUCAGGAUGAACGCUAGCUACAGGCUUAACACAUGCAAGUCGAGGGGAAACGACAUCGAAAGCUUGCUUUUGAUGGGCGUCGACCGGCGCACGGGUGAGUAACGCGUAUCCAACCUGCCCACCACUUGGGGAUAACCUUGCGAAAGUAAGACUAAUACCCAAUGACGUCUCUAGAAGACAUCUGAAAGAGAUUAAAGAUUUAUCGGUGAUGGAUGGGGAUGCGUCUGAUUAGCUUGUUGGCGGGGUAACGGCCCACCAAGGCGACGAUCAGUAGGGGUUCUGAGAGGACGGUCCCCCANAUUGGAACUGAGACACGGUCCAAACUCCGUACGGGAGCA
RNAcentral lists this ribosomal RNA (353 nucleotides) under uncultured bacterium. RNAcentral describes it as "bacterial SSU rRNA". It matches the Rfam family "Bacterial small subunit ribosomal RNA", at positions 8 to 349 of the family's 1533-position model. The record is from RNAcentral.